Molecule: long non-coding RNA, 487 nt
Organism: Trachemys scripta elegans
Lineage: Eukaryota; Metazoa; Chordata; Testudines; Emydidae
Exons: 3
Source: RefSeq, a predicted model, not a curated record
UCUCCGCGCAGGUUUCCCCGGGGGACGUUCCUGGGGGCGCAGCAGGGUCAAGCCCAGAGACCCCGGAGCUGAGGCUCUCCCGCCCCGCGCUGGCCCCGGCGUCUCUCCGCCAAUCAGGGAGCGGGGCGUUCUGACGCGCACCCCAUCCGCCAAUAGAAGGCCGCGCGUGAGAGAGAGCCCGGCGCUUCUCAGCGUGCCCGGGGAGGGCUGGCGCGGGAGAACAGGGAUAUGGGGCACUUCCGCUUCCUGCGGCUGGGCGCGCUUGUUGCCUUGGCAGCCUGUCACGUCACUUCCGCUGUGAGGAGAGUCGAACUACGCUGGGCGGGGCGCCUCUCGCUCGAGCCCAGGCUGCAGCGCAACAUCCAUGUUUUGCUCCAAAUCAUUCCGUCCUUCCAGGGACCAGAAAAGGGAAAUGUCUGCAGUGGAGCCAGUUGAGGGGCUGAUGACCUUCGAGGAGGUGGCUGUGUAUUUCACCAGGGAAGAGUGG